This 490-nucleotide ribosomal RNA is filed under the name uncultured bacterium. RNAcentral describes it as "partial 16S ribosomal RNA". It matches the Rfam family "Bacterial small subunit ribosomal RNA", at positions 29 to 507 of the family's 1533-position model. The record is from RNAcentral.
AUUGAACGCUGGCGGCAGGCCUAACACAUGCAAGUCGAACGGUAACAGGAAGCAGCUUGCUGCUUUGCUGACGAGUGGCGGACGGGUGAGUAAUGUCUGGGAAACUGCCUGAUGGAGGGGGAUAACUACUGGAAACGGUAGCUAAUACCGCAUAACGUCGCAAGACCAAAGAGGGGGACCUUCGGGCCUCUUGCCAUCGGAUGUGCCCAGAUGGGAUUAGCUAGUAGGUGGGGUAACGGCUCACCUAGGCGACGAUCCCUAGCUGGUCUGAGAGGAUGACCAGCAAAAGUGGGACUGAAACGCGGACCAGCCCCAAGCGGGAGGCAGCAGGGGGGAAUAUUGCAAGAUGGGCUCAAGGCUGAGACAUCAAUGCAGCGGGAAGGAAGAAGGCAUUCUGGUUAUAUAUUACUUUCGACGUGGAGGAAGGAAGAAAAGUUACCACCUUCGCUCAUAGAGGUUCCCCGAAGAGGAAGCAGAGACUAACCCGGUG